CGCACGGACACGGGGUGCGCCACAAGGCGCUGAGAUCACACCCGUGGAACCUGAUCUAGCUAGGACUAGCGAAGGGAAUGUCUGAAUGACCGACA
This 95-nucleotide non-coding RNA is filed under the name Tessaracoccus bendigoensis. RNAcentral's name for it is "TPP sequence". It matches the Rfam family "TPP riboswitch aptamer (THI element)". Rfam says of the family: Vitamin B(1) in its active form thiamin pyrophosphate (TPP) is an essential coenzyme that is synthesised by coupling of pyrimidine and thiazole moieties in bacteria. Lineage: Bacteria; Bacillati; Actinomycetota; Actinomycetes; Propionibacteriales; Propionibacteriaceae. The record is from RNAcentral. RNAcentral also lists the same sequence under 1 other name.